Molecule: ribosomal RNA, 391 nt
Filed under: Pseudocalanus sp.
Lineage: Eukaryota; Metazoa; Arthropoda; Copepoda; Calanoida; Clausocalanidae
Description: partial small subunit ribosomal RNA
Rfam family: Eukaryotic small subunit ribosomal RNA
Source: RNAcentral
AUUCCAGCUCCAAUAGCGUAUAUUAAAGUUGUUGUGGUUAAAAAGCUCGUAGUUGGAUCUCGGCGGUCUGAGGGCGGUUCGCUUCAGAGCGCUACUGCCCUAUAGACCGUAGUUUUGCCAGAGGUCUCAGGGUGCUCUUAACCGAGUGUCUUGCGAUGCUGGCAGGUUUACUUUGAAAAAAUUAGAGUGCUCAAAGCAGGCUUUUACGCCUGAAUAUUCGUGCAUGGAAUAAUAGAAUAGGAAGUCGUUUCUAUUUUGUUGGUUUUCGGAAAUCGACUUAAUGAUUAAUAGGAGCAGUUGGGGAUGUCCGUAUUCGAUUGUCAGAGGUGAAAUCCUUGGAUUUAUUGAAGACGAACUACUGCGAAAGCAUUCAUCAAGGAUGUUUUCAUUA